GAGCCAUGUGUUUUUCGUUGGGGUGUGUUUUUGGUUAACUUCUAUUAGACCGCCUCAACCAAAAACCCAGCUGAAUUUUGAUGCAUUGGAAUUCGUUGAGCCUCCUCCCUCAAAACCUUCUGUCUUUGCCUUUCUCUUUAUUUUCUGCAGCCUUUUACUCCUCCUUCAAGCACCAUCCAACAUGAGUCGCCAUCCAGAGGUUCUUUGGGCUCAGAGGUCUGAUAAGGUAUACCUGACGAUCUCUUUACCUGAUGCAAAAGAUAUUUCUGUUAUAUGUGACCCUCAGGGGUUAUUUAGUUUCUCUGCCAUGGGGGUGCAAGGAGAAUCCUUCGAUUUCAGUUUGGAGCUUUUUGGGAAAAUAGUACCUGAGGGUUGCAAAACUAAUGUUGGGUUAAGGAAUAUAAUAUGCUCUAUCCAGAAAGAAGAGAAAGGGUGGUGGAAAAGAUUACUAAAGUCAGAAGAGAAACCUGCACCUUACAUCAAGGUUGAUUGGAACAAAUGGUGUGAUGAAGAUGAGGAAGAGUCAAAUUCUGAUUUGGCCUCUGAUGAUGAUGAUGCCAUGUAUGUUGGUCAAGAUGAUGAAAGCAGCGAUGAUGAAGGAUUGCUGUCUUGAAGAAGCAAAGUGGGCAGAAUUUAUUUGGCCUUUGGAUGGGUUUAAGAGUUAGGAAGAUGAGAUAUGAAGGGAAGGGUGGAUGGGGACUAUUAACAUUGUUGACCAUAUCAAGAUUAAUUGGUGAAAAUAAAAUAUUGAAGGGAAUACGUAAGCUGAUGAUUGAGCUGUUAACAUGACAUUGCUGUAUGAAAGUUGCUUAAACUGUAGCCUAGCACGAAGGAAGGUGAAAGUUUGUGAGGACUCGAAGGUAAGUAGGAGCUGUUAAAAGUAGUGCCUUGAUUGCUAAACCAAAGUUGCUGGAAGUGUGGAAAUAGCAUAGACUGAGGCACUAGAAACCUUGAAGGCUCAAGCAGUAGGGGAUUGAACUUUGCUAGCGCCUUUAAGAAGAUUGGUUGGUAAAAUUGGUGAGAAAUCCCACCAAUUGAGAUCUUCCUGAUUUGGAAAAGGCAAGAGGAAACUAAGUAAAGAAUCAGAACUAACCAGUGACAAAUGGAAGAUGGAGCUACGAGGAACAAUUUUCAUCCUGCUGUGGAAUUAUUAGAACUGGAGUUCAUAUAUAUUCGUAUCUAACCCCUUCUUCAAGGCAGAGGCCAAUCAGAUUAAGAGCACUAGAAUUCUGAAUUCAUUUCAAUCUAUUUUUGCUUAACUUGUUUACAGUAUUUGCUCAUAUCAGCCACAAUGAUGCAUCCAUCUGCUUUAUUUUCUACAUUGUUUGGUCUUUCUUUGACUAGGCUGCUCUGCUUACCUGGUUUUACUGUUGAAGCUUUGCAAUUUUCACAAAGCUUGAGGCAGGGAAAUUCAAGUUUUAAUGUUGAUAUAAUGAUAAAAAAUUAAAAUA
Molecule: RNA transcript, 1451 nt
Organism: Theobroma cacao (cacao)
Lineage: Eukaryota; Viridiplantae; Streptophyta; Magnoliopsida; Malvales; Malvaceae
Gene name: HSP20-like chaperones superfamily protein
Source: RefSeq, a predicted model, not a curated record